Molecule: ribosomal RNA, 229 nt
Filed under: uncultured bacterium
Lineage: Bacteria
Description: partial 16S ribosomal RNA
Rfam family: Bacterial small subunit ribosomal RNA
Source: RNAcentral
CACGUAGGCGGCGGCAUAAGUCAGAAGUGAAAGUUGGCAGCUUAACUGCAAAAUCGCUUUUGAUACUGUGUUGCUUGAAUCACGUUGAGGCUGGCGGAAUGUGGCAUGUAGCGGUGAAAUGCUUAGAUAUGCCAUAGAGCACCAAUUGCGAAGGCAGCUGGCUAGACGUGUAUUGACGCUGAGGCACGAAAGCGUGGGGAGCGAACAGGAUUAGAUACCCUGGUAGUCC